This 376-nucleotide ribosomal RNA is filed under the name uncultured bacterium. RNAcentral describes it as "bacterial SSU rRNA". It matches the Rfam family "Bacterial small subunit ribosomal RNA", at positions 524 to 898 of the family's 1533-position model. The record is from RNAcentral.
UACGGAGGGUGCAAGCGUUGUUCGGAAUUACUGGGCGUAAAGCGCGUGUAGGUGGUCGAGUAAGUCGAAUGUGAAAGCCCCGGGCUCAACCCGGGAAGUGCAUCCGAAACUGCUCGACUAGAGUCCCGGAGAGGAAGGCAGAAUUCCCAAUGUAGGGGUGAAAUCCGUAGAUAUUGGGAGGAAUACCGGUGGCGAAGGCGGCCUUCUGGACGGUGACUGACACUCAGACGCGAAAGCGUGGGGAGCAAACAGGAUUAGAUACCCUGGUAGUCCACGCUGUAAACGUUGCGAACUAGGUGUCGGGGGUAUUCACCCCUCCGGUGCCGAAGCUAACGUCUUAAGUUCGCCGCCUGGGAAGUACGGCCGCAAGGCUAAA